CCCGUCCUCACGUCAAAAAACUUUUCCCAUGAAAUCUGCUAAAAAUUUAUCCACAUAACCAAUAUAUUAAUAUACCAUAUUCCUAGCUAAUUGAUCAAUCAAAAUGGCCAGCAAGUUCCCAUUUGUGUACUUUCUGGUGACCUUGGUUUUAAUUCUCUUCUGCUCUUCAACGAUUCUUCCUCUUGCAGAAGCAGCAAAAACAAGAAAGAUGGCGGCAGCACAUGGCCACAUGAUUAACGGAAUUAAAAGCACUGUCGGUGGAAGCUACUCUAAGCGUGCAUCUCACGGUUGGGUUUCUUCUGGUGGGCGUUGAGCUCACGGUAAGGUUCCUUCUGAGCCUACACCUCAAAGUGAUGCAUGUGGUGGCGAGUUGCUCAAUCAAUCAGCUGUUGCUAUUGCUAUUAAAAUAAGUGUUUGCUUGUAUUUGGUUUUUAAGAUUCUACUCCAAGUUGGUUUAUGAUCAUGUAUGCUAUUUCUGUCUACAUACAAAAAUUAUAAAUAAAUAUAAUAAAUUCUAUUGAA
Mangifera indica (mango) is the source of this 522-nucleotide long non-coding RNA. RefSeq lists it as uncharacterized. Lineage: Eukaryota; Viridiplantae; Streptophyta; Magnoliopsida; Sapindales; Anacardiaceae. The transcript has 2 exons. The record is from RefSeq and is a predicted model, not a curated record.